CAGUAGCCGCGGUAAUACAGAGGGUGCAAGCGUUAAUCGGAAUUACUGGGCGUAAAGCGCGCGUAGGUGGUUUGUUAAGUUGGAUGUGAAAUCCCCGGGCUCAACCUGGGAACUGCAUCCAAAACUGGCAAGCUAGAGUACGGUAGAGGGUGGUGGAAUUUCCUGUGUAGCGGUGAAAUGCGUAGAUAUAGGAAGGAACACCAGUGGCGAAGGCGACCACCUGGACUGAUACUGACACUGAGGUGCGAAAGCGUGGGGAGCAAACAGGAUUAGAUACCCCUGUAGUCCCUGUCUCUUAUAC
This 301-nucleotide ribosomal RNA is filed under the name uncultured bacterium. RNAcentral's name for it is "partial 16S ribosomal RNA". It matches the Rfam family "Bacterial small subunit ribosomal RNA", at positions 509 to 807 of the family's 1533-position model. The record is from RNAcentral.